This 293-nucleotide ribosomal RNA is filed under the name uncultured bacterium. RNAcentral's name for it is "partial 16S ribosomal RNA". It matches the Rfam family "Bacterial small subunit ribosomal RNA", at positions 505 to 796 of the family's 1533-position model. The record is from RNAcentral.
GUGCCAGCAGCCGCGGUAAUACGAAGGGGGCUAGCGUUGUUCGGAUUUACUGGGCGUAAAGCGCGCGCAGGCGGCUUUGCAAGUCAGGGGUGAAAUCCCAGAGCUCAACUCUGGAAUUGCCUUUGAGACUGCUUGGCUUCGAGUACGGGAGAGGUGAGUGGAAUUCCCAGUGUAGAGGUGAAAUUCGUAGAUAUUGGGAAGAACACCGGUGGCGAAGGCGGCUCACUGGCCCGUUACUGACGCUCAGGCGCGACAGCGUGGGGAUCAAACAGGAUUAGAUACCCCGGUAGUCC